This 479-nucleotide ribosomal RNA is filed under the name uncultured bacterium. Its description in RNAcentral is "partial 16S ribosomal RNA". It matches the Rfam family "Bacterial small subunit ribosomal RNA", at positions 28 to 523 of the family's 1533-position model. The record is from RNAcentral.
GACGAACGCUGGCGGCGUGCUUAACACAUGCAAGUCGAGCGAUGGAGCACCUUCGGGUGUGAAUUAGCGGCGAACGGGUGAGGAACACGUGAGAAAUCUGCCUUCAACACUGGGAUAGCUCCGGGAAACCGGGGCUAAUACCGGUUAUGAAACCUGCGGGCAUCCGCGGGUUUGGAAAGUUUUUCGGUUGAAGAUGAUCUCGCGGCCUAUCAGCUUGUUGGUGAGGUAAUGGCUCACCAAGGCGACGACGGGUAGCCGGCCUGAGAGGGCGGCCGGCCACACUGGGACUGGGACACGGCCCAGACUCCUACGGGAGGCAGCAGUGGGGAAUAUUGGGCAAUGGAGGAAACUCUGACCCAGCGACGCCGCGUGCGGGAUGAAGGCCUUCGGGUUGUAAACCGCUUUCAACAGGGAAGAAGCGAAAGUGACGGUACCUGCAGAAGAAGCACCGGCUAACUAUGUACCAGCCGCCGCCGUAA